Molecule: long non-coding RNA, 1063 nt
Organism: Macaca mulatta (Rhesus monkey)
Lineage: Eukaryota; Metazoa; Chordata; Mammalia; Primates; Cercopithecidae
Source: RefSeq, a predicted model, not a curated record
UUUACAGUCCAGUACAUCCCCCACGCUGGGAGGGAGUUCUGUCAUGCAGGCCUCUUCUCAGAGCAAAUCCAAACUUCCUUGGCAGAGUUUUUGCCUGAGACCUCUCUGUGCCUUUUUUUCUUUUCUUUUUUUUUUGAUGGGUGGUGAUCCUUCAGGCCCCAGCCCCCACAGGCCCGGGAGUCCGGAGGAAGGCCCUAAAGAGUUCUUGAUCCUUCGCCUGGGACUCCCACCUCCGGGCUACUCUUAGCUCAGCUGGGUCUCUCUAAUCCAAUCUAAACACAGGCAAGCCAGGACAGACACUGGAUUAGUCCUUGGCUGCGGCUGUGGAGGGAGAGUCUCGGAAAACAGAGGGCUAAGCCACGCGGCCCUACGUGCAGCAUUCUGACUCUUGCUGCUCCUUACUAGACUCUGGGGUUGGGCCACGCUGGCCUCCAAGAAGAGCCCCUACGUGGAAGGUGAGUCCUGCUCCCUGGCCCUCAGAGACAAGGCUCUCAGCACUUCAGGUUUCCUCUGAAGUCUCAUUAUCACAAUUUCCUGAGCUCCCCACCUGGCUCCCAAUGAGUCAUGAAGUUACACCUAUGAGGAUAAAUGGAUUGUGAAAAAUAUCCGGGCCAAAAAAAGUAACGAGCAAGGAGGAAUCGUUUCUGAGAAGGAGAUGCAGAAGAGAAAAAUCAGAAGAAAAGAGGGGGACACAGAAGGAGGAAGGACUGAAAGCCACUUCCCUUCCUGACCCCCGAGUUCUUGCUCCAGUAAAGUGACGUGCAGCCCCUUCCCCAUCCAUGCACUCCCUCCUCAGCCUGGACUUCCUUGACCUCCUGGAAGGACCAGCCUGGACCUCCUCAAGAACCAAGGAAGUGUAAGGAGGAGACGUGUUCAAUGAGACUUCCAAGGAAGAACUGACAGGGCUGAUGACUCAAGGAGAAAGAGGCAGGGGUCAAAAGGAUGCUGGAAAGUCCAGUCUGGGUGUGAAGAAACAUGGGAACCCUGGUAGAGGGAGUCAAGUCAAAGGAUUGCCUGACUUGAAGGACAGAGUAAACGAUGAGUAAAUUCUGGGCAGGUUAAA